AGAGUUUGAUCAUGGCUCAGAGCGAACGCUGGCGGCAGGCCUAACACAUGCAAGUCGAGCGCCCCUCCUUCAAGCGAGCUUGGAGGAUUGCGGAGCGGUCUCCUUGGGCGGGCGAAAGCUCGCUUGACGGACAUCGCUGUGAGAUCAAGCGAGCCUUUAGGGGCUCGCUUGAUGGAGGGGAGCGGCAGACGGGAGAGUAACACGUGGGAACGUACCCUUUGGUUCGGAACAACCCAGGGAAACUUGGGCUAAUACCGAAUAAGCCCUUACGGGGAAAGAUUUAUCGCCGAAGGAUCGGCCCGCGUCUGAUUAGCUAGUUGGUAAGGUAACGGCUCACCAAGGCGACGAUCAGUAGCUGGUCUGAGAGGAUGAUCAGCCUCACUGGGACUGAGACACGGCCCAGACUCCUACGGGAGGCAGCAGUGGGGAAUAUUGGACAAUGGGCGCAAGCCUGAUCCAGCCAUGCCGCGUGGGUGAUGAAGGCCCUAGGGUUGUAAAGCCCUUUCGGCGGGGAAGAUAAUGACGGUACCCGCAGAAGAAGCCCGGCUAAUUCCUGGCCAUGAGCCCCCGUA
This 572-nucleotide ribosomal RNA is filed under the name uncultured Pseudomonadota bacterium. RNAcentral's name for it is "bacterial SSU rRNA". It matches the Rfam family "Bacterial small subunit ribosomal RNA", at positions 8 to 522 of the family's 1533-position model. The record is from RNAcentral. Lineage: Bacteria; Pseudomonadati; Pseudomonadota.